AGGCCUAACACAUGCAAGUCGAACGGUAACAGGAAGCAGCUUGCUGUUUCGCUGACGAGUGGCGGACGGGUGAGUAAUGUCUGGGAAACUGCCUGAUGGAGGGGGAUAACUACUGGAAACGGUAGCUAAUACCGCAUAACGUCGCAAGACCAAAGAGGGGGACCUUCGGGCCUCUUGCCAUCGGAUGUGCCCAGAUGGGAUUAGCUAGUAGGUGGGGUAACGGCUCACCUAGGCGACGAUCCCUAGCUGGUCUGAGAGGAUGACCAGCCACACUGGAACUGAGACACGGUCCAGACUCCUACGGGAGGCAGCAGUGGGGAAUAUUGCACAAUGGGCGCAAGCCUGAUGCAGCCAUGCCGCGUGUAUGAAGAAGGCCUUCGGGUUGUAAAGUACUUUCAGCGGGGAGGAAGGGAGUAAAGUUAAUACCUUU
RNAcentral lists this ribosomal RNA (430 nucleotides) under Shigella flexneri 1b. RNAcentral's name for it is "bacterial SSU rRNA". It matches the Rfam family "Bacterial small subunit ribosomal RNA", at positions 44 to 470 of the family's 1533-position model. Lineage: Bacteria; Pseudomonadati; Pseudomonadota; Gammaproteobacteria; Enterobacterales; Enterobacteriaceae. The record is from RNAcentral.